Molecule: long non-coding RNA, 1030 nt
Organism: Notolabrus celidotus (New Zealand spotty)
Lineage: Eukaryota; Metazoa; Chordata; Actinopteri; Labriformes; Labridae
Exons: 2
Source: RefSeq, a predicted model, not a curated record
AAAAAGGCGAGAGUUAACGAGGCAUGCAGAAGUUUGGUCCGAGUGAAUUUUCAGGAGUUUUGCACGGAGUUUUGUGUUUAAAACUUUGUCUCUGGAUUACAAGCAAGGUAAUCUGUAAGAAGACGUGUUUGUAAAUGACAGAACUUUGACCAGAAGUUUUGACGACUGCAGCAUUGCUGCUCGUUAAACCAGUGAGAGUGAUUUAAAACGUGGACAGACUGCAGCUGCUUCUAGCUGACCCAGCUCGACCCAGUACCUGUGUUUUGGACUGUUUUGGACUGUUUUGUCCAAAAGCGUUGGAUUGCCACCAGACCUGAUGAUGCUGUACCCUCGUUUUCAUCUUGCUCGUUAAGGAGACCUAUGGACGAGUAAACUACCCUGUGGAACACACAUCUCUAAAAAGCCUCAUUGAGCAACUGGCACAAAUGCACACUGCUCUUUUUACUGCCAUUAACCAUAUACCUGGGAUGCUUGGCCACAUUAAUGAUGCUUGACUCCAGCGCUGACAGACCACCCACCAGUGUCAACCAUCAAUCUAUCCAACCAGAGGGCGGCUGUCGCUCCUGAAGACACACUGUUGAGUCCUCUACUCAUCGCCCUGGAUCAGAUAGCUCAUUUGUAAAAUUAUACCUUAUUUGAUGCUUCAUUUGAGUGUCUGUGUUUCAUUUCCCUGCAUGUGUGAAAUGGUUGUUGUCAGACAGAGGGUAAGCUUACUCACCUCGCUGUAGGUAAACAAAUAGUGGAAGAGUUUGUGAGAUUCAUCUCUGAAAUGAGUUUGGUAACAAAAGGUAAUGGAACCUCUUGACAGUAAAUGAGUGGAAAAUGAAGAAGCCAGCAGGGCCCACAAAGAUCAUUCAGUCAUCCCCUUUUAAAUUAUGCUCAGAUUCUGCUUAGUCAUGUCCUCAGCUCAUUUCCUCCGAGUUGAUUGGAUCACAGUGGUUGUGUGUGGCUGUCAGCAGCUAAUAUGAUGGAGAAGUAAUGUGAUGCUGCUGUUCAUGCUGAAUAAAGCAAAUUGUGUUUAAUAACUUCA